This 482-nucleotide ribosomal RNA is filed under the name uncultured bacterium. RNAcentral describes it as "partial 16S ribosomal RNA". It matches the Rfam family "Bacterial small subunit ribosomal RNA", at positions 28 to 507 of the family's 1533-position model. The record is from RNAcentral.
GACGAACGCUGGCGGCGUGCCUAACACAUGCAAGUCGAACGGAACUGUUUUGAAAGAUUUCUUCGGAAUGAAUUUGAUUUAGUUUAGUGGCGGACGGGUGAGUAACGCGUGAGUAACCUGCCUUCAAGAGGGGAAUAACAUUCUGAAAAGAAUGCUAAUACCGCAUGACAUAUCGGAACCACAUGGUUUUGAUAUCAAAGAUUUUAUCGCUUGAAGAUGGACUCGCGUCCGAUUAGUUAGUUGGUGAGGUAACGGCUCACCAAGACCGCGAUCGGUAGCCGGACUGAGAGGUUGAACGGCCACAUUGGGACUGAGACACGGCCCAGACUCCUACGGGAGGCAGCAGUGGGGGAUAUUGCGCAAUGGGGGCAACCCUGACGCAGCAACGCCGCGUGAAGGAUGAAGGUUUUCGGAUUGUAAACUUCUUUUAUUAAGGACGAAAAAUGACGGUACUUAAUGAAUAAGCACCGGCUAACUACGUG